RNAcentral lists this unclassified non-coding RNA (381 nucleotides) under uncultured bacterium. Its description in RNAcentral is "contains 16S-23S intergenic spacer region". The record is from RNAcentral.
UCCGGUUUGUCACCGGCAGUAUCCCAUGAGUCCCCGACAUAACUCGCUGGCAAUUAAUGACAAGGGUUGCGCUCGUUGCGGGACUUAACCCAACAUCUCACGACACGAGCUGACGACAGCCAUGCAGCACCUGUGUUACCGUUCCCUUUCGGGCACACCCACUUCUCGGCGGGCUUCGGUACGUGUCAAGGGUAGGUAAGGUUUUUCGCGUUGCAUCGAAUUAAUCCACAUAAUCCACCGCUUGUGCGGGUCCCCGUCAAUUCCUUUGAGUUUUAGUCUUGCGACCGUACUCCCCAGGCGGGGCGCUUAAUGCGUUAGCUUCGGCACGGAAGGAAUCGACACCUCCCACACCUAGCGCCCAUCGUUUACGGCGUGGACUAC